AUUCACUGCAGCACUAUUUUCACUGGCCAAGGCAUGGAAGCAACCUAAAUGUCCAUCAACAGAGGAAUAAAGAAGCUGUGGUACAUAUAUACAAUGGAAUAUUCCUCAGCCAUAAAAAAGAACGAAAUAAUGCCAUUUGCAGCAAUAUGGAUAGACCUAGAAACUAUCAUACUGAAUGAAGUUAGACAGUGAAAGACAAACAUCAUAUGAUAUCACCUAUAUGUGGAAUCAAAACGAGAGGAUACAAAUGAACUUAUCUGCAAAAGAGAAACAGACUCCCAGACUGUGGAAAAACUUACGGUUACCCAAAGGAACAGGUGAGGGUGGGAGGGAUGGACUGAGGGUUUGGAAAUGACAUAUGCACACUGAAGUAUAUGGAAUGACUGGGAGACGUGGUCAUGCUGUAUAGCACAGAGAACUCUGCCCAGUAUUCUGUGAUAAUCUUUGUGGGGAAGGAAUCUGAAAGAGAAUGUGUAUAUGCAUGACUGAAUCACUUUGUUGUACAGGAGAAAUUAUCACAACCUUGUAAAUCAACUAUACUUCAAUAAAACUUAAAAAAAAAAAGUAUCAGAGUUCCCACUAUGGCUCAGAUGGGUUAAUAAUGUCUCUGCUGCACCAGGACACAGGUUCAAUCCCUGCCCAGUACAGUGGGUUAAGGAUUACGCAUUGCCACAGUUGUGGCAUAGGUUGCAAAUGAGGCUGGGAUCUGAUCCCUAGCCAGGGAACUCCAUAAUGCCACGGGGUGGCCCCCCGCCAAAAAAAAGAGAGAGAGACAGUAUCAAAGGAUUUCCCCUGGUGGUGCAGAGGGUGAAGGAUCUUCUUGUCACUGCAGUGGCUCAGGUCCAAUCCCUGGUCCAGGAACUUCUGUAUGCCCUGGGCACACAGCACCCCCUCCCCAAAAAAGACAAUAUAUAGUGCUGGUGAGGAUGCCCAACACCAGGAAUCUUCCUCUAUUGCUGGUAGGAAUCACCCAAAACUGGAAACAACCUAAAUAUCCUUCAGUGUAUGAAGGGAUAAUCAAACUCUCGUAUAGUCACACUGUGGAAUACUAUUCACCGAUUAAGAAGGAAUGAAUGAAUGAUUCAUACACCAUUUACGGAUCUCAAAUCAUUUGAGAAAGCAGAAGAAGCCAGACUCAAGAUACUCUAGACUCUAUGAUUCUAGUCAUAGGCUCUUAAAGAAAAGGCAAAACUAGAGAGACAAAAAAUAGAUCAGUGGUGUCCAGGGACUGAUUGUAGAGGAAGAAAUUGAUUACAAAAGAACAUAGGCGAACUUGUAGGGGUGAAGGAACUAUUCUAUAUUUUGACAGUGGUGGUUCCACAACUACAUUUGUCAAAACUCAUAGAACUACAAAAUGUCAAUUUUAUCAAUGUAAAUUUAUCUCAGUGAAAAAAGUUGGAUUGGAUUCUAUUUCAUAAUUCAGAAAUUAAGGAUUAAACUAUAAAAGGCAAAAUAAAACUGUUAAUAGCCAACAUGGGGGGAAGAUCUUUUAAAAUCUUAAGGAAGAACUUUUAAAAUAAAACCUAGUAUUAGAAAAAUGAUAUCUUUGAUCACAUCUAUUUAUCAAAGAUCCCAAAGUAAAAAGUGAAGCCCCAAAUGAUAUUUGCAAACACAUAUAAUUAGCAAGAGAUUAGUAUCUAAAAUACAUAAUGACUACAAAAGAAGAAAGCAUACAAAACCCAAGCAAACAAACAUCAAAGAACAGUUCUGUGGCUGUGGCAUUAAGUACAGUCACAUGUCAUUGCAACCAUCACUAUCAUCCAUCUCCAGAACUUUGUUCAUCUUGAAAAACAAAUUCUAUUCCCAUUAAGCAACAACUCCUCAUUCCUCCAUCCCUCCAGUUCCGGGAAACCACCAUAAUACUUUCCGUCUCCAUGAAUUUGACUCCAUGAAUCAGGAAGUAUUUGUCCUUUUGUGAGGGGUUUAUUUCAUUUCACAUAGUAUCUUCCAGAUUCAUCCAUACCGUAGCAUGUGUCAGAAUUUCCUUCCUUUUAUAGCUGAAUAAUAUUCCGAAGGAUGGCCAUAUCACAUUUUUUAAAUGCAUUCAUCCACUGAUAGACAAUCGUGUUGUUUCAACCUUGUGGCCAUUGUGAAAUAUGCUAAGAACAUUGGUUUGCAGAUACCUGUUUGAGUCUCUGCUUUAAAUUCUUUUGGGUAUACACCCAGAAGUAGAAUUGCUGGAUCAUAUGGCAGCUCUAAUUUUAAUUUUUUGAGGAACCAUCAUAGUGUUUUCCAUAGCUGCUAUGCCAUUUUUCUUUCCUACUGGCAGUGCACAAGUGUUCCAGUUUCUCCACAUCCUUGCUAACAUUUUGUCCUUGUCUUUGUUGUUGUUGUUGUUUUUAGUAAUAGUCAUCCUGAUGGGUGUGUAGCGGUAUCUCAUUGUGGUUUUGAUUUGCAUUCAGCUAAUGAUGAAUGAUAUUGAACACCUUUUCAUGGGCAUCUUGGAAAGAAACCGCUUUUAUAAAAGAAAUAAACUUUUCUAUAAAAACCUAUUAUAUAGGAGAGGAAAAAAGAAAAUAUAAACCUCAAAAUAUUAUCAGUGUGCUGAAAUACUGUCCAGCAAAUAUUGACUCUCUUCCCUAGUAUCACCACGGGAGGAUAUACUUCCCCACCCACUGAACUUGGACUUCCCCUUCCUUGUUUUGGCUACUAGUGGAGCAUGGACAGAAGCAGCAGCAUGCCAGGUCUGAGCUCAAGUCUUAGAGCCAUCCCAUGUUUCCACUCAUCAUCUACACAGACUUGCUGCAGGUAUCCGUUGAGCCUGAGCCACAAAAGGACAACUGUAGAACAGAGCUAAAGUUGUCUUGUUGCCUGAAGCAGCUGUGGGAGCUGACCCAUAGAAUUGUGAUCAAGUAAUUGCUAGUAGCUAUGCACCAGUGAGCUUUUUGAGGCCAUUUGUUACACUGAAAAGAAAAACUGAUACACAGAAGCUUCUCUCUGGAUGGUGAGAUUGAGUAAUUUUUCCCCUUCUUUGUACUUUUAAAAUAUUUUCCAGUUUUUCUAUAAUUCUCUACUUAUUGAUAAUUUUAAAAAUAAUCUGGGAUUUUUCAUAUGAAAUGACUAACAGUGGUUAUUUCUGUUACAACGCACGUAUUUUUCAAAACUUUUACUUAAAUUCUGAAUUUUUUUUUCACAAGGAACAUGUCUUAUUUUGUAGUCAGAAAAAAAAAAUAACAAAGGCUUUUGUUUCAUUUUUUUUUCCUAGAACAAUAGCCAUUCAAAAAAUCUCAAAGGAGCUUCCAAGAGUUAGUAGUAAAGCCAAGUAGAAAAGGAUGAAACAUUCUUCCUUAUUGGUUGCCUGGGUUGGGAGUGGAAAGCAGAAAUCACUGGGAUGUUUGGGGGGGUGGGGGUCGGUGGUUAGAAAUGCUCUAAAAUUGGGUUGUGGUUGCAGUUAUACCAGUCUGUAAUUUGCUAAAACUCAUUGAAUUAUAUACUUAAAAAUCGUGAAUUUUAAAUAAUUAUACAUACCCUCAAUAAAAUGCUUUAAAAAACCCAUUCUUCUUUUACAUGACAAUUUAAAGAAAUAAGCUUUAGUUUCAAGAACUGGAACCACAGAUAACUCCUCCAAUAACAGUGCAAACACUGACAACAAUAAAAUAAAUACACAAUCUCUUAUUGAAGAAGUAGAAUAACUAAAAGGCAAAUUUGAGUGAGAAUAUGGAGCAAAGAGUCUUUGAAAAAAAGUUCGUAGGAAUGCCUGUUGUAGCACAGCAGAAACGAAUCUGACUAGUAUCCAUGAGGAUGCAGGUUUGAUCCCUGGCCUCUCUCAGUGGGUCUGGGAUCCUGUGUUGCCAUGAGCUGUAGUGUAGGUCGCAGACACAGAUCAGAUUCCGUGUGGCUGUGGCAUAGGCCGGCAGCUGUGACUCCGAUUCAACCCCUAGCCUGGAAAUUUCCAUGCGCCAGGGGUGCAGCCCUAAAAAGCAAAAAAAAUUCCUAAAUUAAACAGAAACAUUUUACUUUCACUGAGCAAGCUGUGAUUUGCCAAUCGUAUUCUGUCACACACAGGGGCCAGGCUUGGGGGCAGAGGAUUAGCAAUGGGAUCAGUUUGUGUCCUUGGAAGCCAGCACACCUUGAGGAUGGGAUGGGAGGCAAAAGUACAGUAGUAUUCAACUUGCUAACAGCAACUGCAAAAUGACAGGCAACUUGCCAGUUACUUGUUGAAACUUGGAGAAUAUAAAUGCAUAAGUUAAAUAGUGCCUUGUAGGUACUUGGGAUGGAACCAAACACUCUGUGGACACUUCAGAGGUUAACGUAUUUGAAUUGAAAUGAUUUAAAAAUUAUGUUAAAAGACACAGUAAAAUCCCUGUGUCUCAGCCCCAAAGUCCUAAAUCAGCCCCUCUGUCUGGAAGUCAUCUGCUUGUCAAACCUCUAAGCUAACAUCUAGCUUUUGCAACAUGAAAGUUGCCAUGACAACUGAGGAGAAAGUUUUGGUCAACAUAGUAUAAUCAAAAAACAAUUUAAAAAAACCCUUUGAGCAACUUUUUUUAAGCCAAGGGGGAUUCAAAUGAUACCCCAAAAGCAUAAUGUCUCACAGGUAUAAAAUCUGGGGGUCAUGGAACAAGAAACAAAAACUAGAUGGCGAAGUCAGAUGGACAAAGCAAGAAGCAUGGUUGUCCAAACACCUCUUCACCUUGGGCAUCUUAUGCGUAAAAUAUCUAAGAAAUGUUUGUUGGUUUAAUCUGAUUGGACUCCAAAUCCUUAUUUCACGUCCCAAAGAAGAAUGAACUUGUGUCAUUUGAGCUGAGACCCGAACAUACUCAACAGAAACGAAUUUCCAGAAAUCCCAGUACUUGAAAUCACUAAGCUUUUCUGCUGUGUUUCCUUAACCACCCUAGAGGUAGCAUUUGAUUUAAGUUCUAGGGGGAGACUGCUUUUGCAAACAUUAAAUCCAAUUAAGACAAAAUAGAAAAUAAAACAUUUGAAAACAACUUAUUUUUGAAGUAUAUUCUGGGAGAAAUGCUUUCUCUGUGUAUAAUGGGAAUUUUUCUUAUUUUUCUGUGCGUCACCUAUCCUCACUUUAUCUGAUAAGUGCCCCUGGUUUUCCAUCACCCAUUUUGAGCUGUAUGAUUCAAGGGAUUGAUUCCAUCUAAGUUUCAGGAAGAUGCUGUUUACUAGGCUUGGCCAAAUCAGAAGCUUUAUCCUGGAGGUCGCGUCGUGGCGCAGUGGUUAACGAAUCCGACUAGGAACCAUGAGCUUGCAGGUUCGAUCCAUGCCCUUGCUCAGUGGGAUAACGAUCCGGCGUUGCCGUGAGCUGUGGUGUAGGUUGCAGACGUGGCUCGGAUCCCGAAUUGCUGUGGCUCUGGCAUAGGCUGGCAGCUCCAGCUCCGAUUAGACCCCCAGCCUGGGAAACUCCAUAUGCCAUGGGAGCGGCCCAAGAAAUGGCAAAAAGACAAAAAAAAAAAAAAAAA
RNAcentral lists this long non-coding RNA (5408 nucleotides) under Sus scrofa (pig). RNAcentral describes it as "lncRNA (ENSSSCG00015001311.1)". Lineage: Eukaryota; Metazoa; Chordata; Mammalia; Artiodactyla; Suidae. The record is from RNAcentral.